Molecule: long non-coding RNA, 867 nt
Organism: Oxyura jamaicensis (ruddy duck)
Lineage: Eukaryota; Metazoa; Chordata; Aves; Anseriformes; Anatidae
Exons: 4
Source: RefSeq, a predicted model, not a curated record
CGAUAUAAACACACAGAAAUAUAACAAAACAAUGCUCAAAAUGCCUCCUUCACAUAUACUCAAUACAAGAUCCAUGUAAUAAUAACUAAUUGGAAAAUAUAAGCUACUUUUACUAAUUUGUUAGAGUAUUUGCUCAUUACAAUGACAUGUUAAGUACAACUUUCUCCAGUAUAUAUUACAGAAAGCUCCUUCAGAAAUACUGACAUAUUUACACCACAAGAGGUCACCCUUAUGGAAUACAAGCUGGUGUAUUUCCACUUGCACGGUAAGACUACAAGCUGAACCAAACUAAACUUAAAAUGAUCCAAUUUUUAUCACCAUGAAUAUAAAAUUUACUACGUUAAAACUGUAGGUUUAUUCAUGCACAAGGACAACGAUUUUUUAUGAUAUAAUUAACACUUCUAAAAGAUUUAAUGAGAAGAAUUUUCAAAGAAACAAACCUUGAUAAACUUUAAUCUUGAGGAUUUAAGUGCUCUAAAAUCCAAACGCUUAUACAAACUGUCUUGAAAUUAUUGAAGCUCAUACAUAGCAUUUCCUAGUCAUCUAGGGAAGAAAUUACUUUUUUUUUUUAAAAAAAAAAAAAAGAAGAAUUGAAGAAACUUCAAUAGAGACAAUCCUACAAGUUCUGCAGAAUACAAAACCAGUUGAAUAGAAGAGACCCUGAAGCAAAGGAUGUGGUAACCUGAACCGUUAUCAGUCUAUGUAUGAGCAAUGAAGGGGAAGACCAUGUCAAAGUCUGAACUGAGGUUUUAAAAAAUAAAUAAAAGCCUGGUUAAAACCUAUGCUUCCUUAAACAUCGGUAUCAAUAGGUUUAAAGACAUAGCUCUUUGCAAAAGCAGACUGCUGCACUGCUCGUAUUCACAGAAC